RNAcentral lists this non-coding RNA (397 nucleotides) under uncultured fungus. RNAcentral also lists the same sequence under 1 other name. The record is from RNAcentral. Lineage: Eukaryota; Fungi.
AGAGUUAAAAAGUACGUGAAAUUGUUAAAAGGGAAACGAUUGAGAUCAGUGUUGCCGGCUUCAAAUCAACCAAAUGUCCCAAAUGGCAUUGGCGGAGGGAUCGCAAGACCCUUACUAAUGUUUAUGAGGAGGCAUUUGGUGCACUUUGGUGUCGGCAGGUCAGCAUCAGUUUGGCUGGCCGGAAAAAACCGAAAGAAAGGCAGGUCUUCGGGCUGAGCCCCUUUCGGCUAUACGGUAGGCUAGACUGAGGAAUGCAGUGUGUGCUUUUGGCUGGGUGCCGUGUUGCAGAAGAAUGCUCGUAUGUAGACUGCUUGCAGACUGCGUGCGAUGCAUUAUUCUCUCGAUGCGAUACACCACAAACACAUUUUGGAUGCUGACGAAAUGGUCUUAAACGACC